CUUUUUUUUUUUUCUCUAUUUAUUAAUUUUUUUUUUAGCUGUUUUUCCCUUCUUCCUGUUUUGGGGGAUAUAUUUGAUAUAUAUAUUUUUUUUCUUUCCCUGACACGCUCAAAGGGGACUAUUUUCCCCAAGUGGCUUUAGAAAACCGGCAGGAGUCAUUCCCAAAAGAGCAUGCGACUUCUCUGCCAGUUUGUUGCCUUCCCCAGACGAACAACUCCACCUGCUGCACACCGACUCGGGGGCGAGGGAGGGGAAAAUUAUAAAAGAAAAAGAAAAAUCUUUUAAAGAACCUUUAAAGCCCCCAGGUGUACAGAGCCGAGAGGUCGGGGGAGCCGCCUGCAGCAUUGCAGUGUAAAACCAACAUGCCUUAAGCUUUGCUGUCCCAUGUGGGUGACUCUCACAGCACAGUGGCAUGCUGAGACCUUCACUUUCUGACCUGCAGAUGAACUUGUAACAUCGCUGCUUCUCUUGCUGCAGUAAGGCCAAGGAGGAUGGAGGGCAUGGCCAGCUCCAAGAGUCUUUCCUGAGUCUCCCCAAGGCAGGAAAAGAGCUUCAGUCCUAAAGAUUUGGGAUGUUACUGGCGUGGGAGCACUGCACCUCCAUCUCAUGCUUCUCAGCAACUGGAAGCACCUGGGCAGGCAGCUCUUACCUGGGCACGGUGGGAAGAAGACACCCCAAAAGGGUCAUCUUCGGAGCAGGUGCCCCCCAGAGAAGGAGAGGCUGAGUGGUCUUCAAGAUCGAGGAGCGUGUGGCAUUUCAGGCGAGAUGCAAAAUGACGUUCCUGUGAAAGCAGAAAUUCCAGCUGCCAAACCACAUGCUCCUCUACACAGUAAGGAGAAUCAAAACAUGUAUAUGCUCAUGGAGCAAAAUUGCUGUGUUUUCAUCCCAAUAAAUCUUCACACAGCCCAUAAAGAGGGAUGUGCCUCCCUCUGUGAGCACCCUUUAUUUCCUGCAACCAUGAAAUAA
This 966-nucleotide long non-coding RNA is filed under the name Cairina moschata (Muscovy duck). Its description in RNAcentral is "domestica (muscovy Duck (domestic type)) lncRNA (ENSCMMG00000014672.1)". The record is from RNAcentral. Lineage: Eukaryota; Metazoa; Chordata; Aves; Anseriformes; Anatidae.